Molecule: non-coding RNA, 75 nt
Organism: Podarcis lilfordi (Lilford's wall lizard)
Lineage: Eukaryota; Metazoa; Chordata; Lepidosauria; Squamata; Lacertidae
Source: the annotation of a GenBank genome assembly
GGAAAGGCUAUAGCUCAGUGUCAGAGCACCUGCUUUGCAUGCAGAAGGCUCCAGGUUCAAAUCCCAGCAUUUCCA